CCUACGGGAGGCAGCAGUGGGGGAUAUUGCACAAUGGGGGUAACCCUGAUGCAGCGACGCCGCGUGGGCGAAGAAGUAUUUCGGUAUGUAAAGCCCUAUCAGCAGGGAAGAAGAAAUGACGAUACCUGAGUAAGAAGCACCGGCUAAAUACGUGCCAGCAGCCGAGGUAAUACGUAGGGUGCAAGCGUUAUGCGGAUUUACUGGGUGUAAAGGGAGCGCAGGCGGCACGGCAAGCCUGAUGUGAAAGCCCGCGGCUCAACCUCGGGACUGCAUUGGGAACUACCGGGCUGGAGUGCAGUAGAGGUAGGCGGAAUGCCUAGUGUAGCGGUGAAAUGCGUAGAGAUUAGACGGAACACCAGUGGCGAAGGCAGCCUACUGGACGGUGACUGACGCUGAGGCUCGAAAGCGUGGGGAGCAAACAGGAUUAGAUACCCUUGUAGUC
Molecule: ribosomal RNA, 442 nt
Filed under: uncultured bacterium
Lineage: Bacteria
Description: partial 16S ribosomal RNA
Rfam family: Bacterial small subunit ribosomal RNA
Source: RNAcentral